CUUAGUGUGGCUGUACCCAGGUCAGAUCCAAGGUUGGGACUGGGACCAGGUGGACUUUGUUUGUUGGGGCUUUAGAUUCCCAGAGAGUUAGCUCUAAGCGACCACAUCAUUCUAGAUUGACCUUAAUCUGUUUACUGAAGUCCCACUGCUAAAUGAUAGACUCACCCCUGUUUCUCUGCAUCCCUUGCCCCUCCCUCAUGCAGACCAGACCAACACAACCAUGACAUAGUCUCUCUGCACUGGUCCAAUCGCUGCUCAGUGCCGUCUGAGUAUAGCGCUCUCCUUUUAAAUCCCCCUCUCUGUGGUGAAUCAGCACUUGCAGCGCAGCCCUCCGGUGAUACAGCAGGUGGUAGAGGAGUCUACUGAAACAGCCUACACAUUUUCCGGCCGUGAGUGGGGCCUUCAUGGAUUCCCCGUACAAUGGCAACACGUCCCUCCAGACCUCCACCUCCAACCUCAACGCCAACUUCUCCCGGCCGACAGAGGCGGAAGAGGAGGGCAAGUACUCCAGCGACGCCAUCUGGCUUUGGGUGGCCGUCAUUGCAACCAUCGGCAACAUAGUAGUGGUAGCAGUGGUUUGCGCCUGUGCCUUCUAAGACUCGUUAGUUACAAGCACACAGCCGAACCUCCCUCUUGCCACUUUUUCCCCCUCCACUUUGACCUAUCCCCUGUAUUCGUUUUCAUCUGGUAUGUGUCCAUCCGUAAUAUUAAAGCCAAGGCCAAGUUCUGAGGGUCGCCGGAAUAUGAUCGUGAAAAUAUAGGGAUUGAUUUAACUGAUGUUCUGUAGGACUAUGAAUGCGUUUGUAAGUCUAGGAAUGAGAGCGAGAGAGACAAUCCUCUGGAGUUACCAUACCGUAUCUUACCUAAAGCCUAUGUCUCCCAACGUGUUUUUUUAUUUAUUUUAAUGAUAAAUGGGGAAGUGAGCUGAUGUGGGCUGUGCCUUUGUAUAAUGAACAUUUUGUAAAUGAGUUAUGGAAAUGGACAUUGUAUAAAGCAGCCUCCGUUCUGCUUUCCAAUCGGAGGGAUCAACAGAGGUCAGCCUAAAGGAAGGGAAGUGGAAGUUGUAGGGAAGUGGGAAGUGCACAGGGAACGUGUACAGCUGUGAGAUCCCCUCUGCCUAUGAACCUGAACAGAACACCACCCCAUAUAUCUUUGUCUGGUUGAUGUCAUGUGCCUGUUUGUCUGAAAUGAAUGUGUUGAUGCUGCUGCCUUGGUCCAGGUCUCUCUUGAAAAUUAAAAAUUUUUUGUAUCUCAAUGAGACCAACCUGGUUAAAUAAGGGUGAUAUAAAUAAACACGGAAUCAGCAGUUCCCGUUGUGGUUGGCCACUGUCUCGGAGACCAGUGGAGAGAUAUGUGACAGAUGGUGGCUGGUAGGAGCGCUGAGGGGACAGCGGAGGGGCCCAGGGCAGACUUGGCAGUACCCCUCAGUACUCUGUGUUCUUUCCUGUGACUGCUGCACCACUGCACUACCAUUCACCAUUACUGCUCUGUCCUGUCCUCAUCGGCCUCUGUGAUAGAAAUCUCCCUAAGCACUUUAUAAAAACCCAAUAAACUGGGGCGUUUUCUUCCGUUUUAACUGCAGUGUUCUGGGCUCACCUGUUGCAUCUCUGCAGUGGCUGUAGACCUGUGCCAGUUGAACUAUGCAGUGAUGGCAUCCCACUGGGCACACACUGGUUGAAUAUAGAACGUCAUUUCAAUGAAAUGUUCCCCGUUGGAUAGCUGUGGAUAAUGUUUAGAAGUGAGACCGAUGUAUACAAACACAGUAUCACCCACAAGCCAAAAUAAGGGAAUUAAGUUGUCAGCACACAUCUUAUGUUAUACCACCCCUGCUGACAUUAUCUGCAAUUACGGAGCCACCAAUUACAUCGCACUAAAUCAUGGAGCCGCCCACCAUAACCAGACUAUCCCAAAUGACCCGACCGCCGCUACGAAGGCCCCACGCUGUUGAGCUAGCAAUGAAAUGAUUUUGCUCCUGUCAUAAGAAACCCCAUUGCUGUUAACGUUAGUUUUUUGUUGUUGUUGUGCCAGGCAGGCAGAAUCUCACAUUCACCUCAGAUUGUCUCUCAGUAGACUAGUGUGUGUAGGUGGCAGCCUCCCCAGUAGUUCUGUGCUGUGCUGUCUCCCAUGCACCCAGUGGAGUGGGGCCACAGACUUGUCAAGCGGCAGGGCUGUAAUGAGACGUAAUGCCUCUCUCUCUCUCUCUAUAUCUCUUUCCUAAAGCGAACAGUGACCUCUCAGUUGCGCUGCGGUGAUCAGAGCAGAUCUGAUCCCUGCUGCACUCGGCUGCGCUGAACAAAGAUAGUGCUUCAAAGUGCAUUUUUAGACUGGGACUUCCUCAUUUAAUCAGCACUCGUUGUGAUUGAAAGGGAGAGGAGGAGGAGAGAGGAGUGACCGCAUGGGAUUGGAUUUGUAACAGCCAACUUCCAUGUCAUCGCUUUGAAUUACAGGACUUUUUUUGAAGUACAAUGGAAAAUAUAUAUUUUUUUAUUGAAACCAACGAAGUGGAAUAAAAGGUUUUAAGAUGGAGAGAUUUAGGAUCAAAAGUCAGGCUGAGACAUCACUCCACACAGCUAAUUGCCCUGAUCUCACUGUACAGUAGAGUUAAUGAAAACAAGAGACAGAUUCAUCAUGGCGUCUCUGAGCGGUCCUUUUCAGGUUCCUUAGAGAGCUUAGUCUGAAGAAACCUGAGGGAACAGUAAUGCAUUGUCUCUUAACAAUAAACAACAACAAACCAAAAAAACGCUAGUGUCUCUAUGGCACUGUAUGGGGCGUCAUAAGUAUCUGCUGGCAAUAACUCAAGAUGACGCUAACAAGUUAGUAUUAUACAUCCCCACUAUAUGUAGUUACUUUAAUACAGUAACUAUUCUGAAACAACAUGCAUAUGAACUAGGUGAAGAAUCCCAGUUAGCUAUAAUAUGAAUUUCUUCUACCCUUGUGUCGGCUGUGUGCUUUGACAUGGGACUGGUUAAGGCUCCGGUGCCCACUGUCUACGGCUCAAAUUAUGUGCCUGAGCUGACUAACACAACACCUACCCGUCAACUGCUUAUGUGACCAUGGAUGCUCCUUAACCACCACGGGACGAUGGUCCUCCUCCACACGACGGGACGUCAUCACAGCCUCAAGCCCCAGGUACCGCGUGACCCCGUUUGCAAGACCACGUAGGCGCGUUUCACCGGACACAGGCGAAUAAAAGCUAAUCCUGUACUCCAAAAAACAUUCCGAUGGAGAUUCUCUAUUGAGCCUAAUGUUUAUUAACUAGUGUCCGGGAAACUGCCCUUUUACUGUUUUUAAGAUUUGUUUUUCAUUACCGCCUCCAGGUAAAAAAGUGAAUUGUUGAGCUAUACAGUAUGCAUCUGCCUGUUAAAGGGAACAGUUCUUUUUUUUUUUGUGUUGGGGAACUUGGAGUUGAUGCUUCAUACAUAAUCUCAUUUGUUUUCAUGUACUGUUUCUUUAUUUCUAUAAGUCAACAUUACUUCAGUCGUACUACGUCUACUGUAGAUCUUGAGUUUAAACAUUCUGCUAAGCAUGUCGUCUCCUUAUUCCUUCUAAUGGAUUAGUAGUGCAUCUCAAUACGGUGUUAACUGAGAUAGCAUGUGUAGACUUGUCAUCAUGUAUCCUCUACUGCAUUAUAUGAUCAAUGUCACAUUCGUAAAGAAAUACUACUAUGACAAAACUCAUGUAGUUACAGCUGUUAAAUGGGGGAGACGUGGCCAUAGGGUGCUCCCUCCACCAACAGAUGCAUUUCACCACGUUUGACUUCCUCCCUCCAUAGGCCCAGAGGGGACUGCUUAAUUACAGCCCAGAGAGCACUGCACGUUCCAUCCUCCUUCUCCUUUCCCCUCUGUUCUCUCUUCUUCCACCCCUCCAUCCAUCCAUCCAUGCAGAGCAUUAGACCGUGGUGUCUGCGUUGGUACUGACCUCUGACUCGAGGCAGGGCACCUCAUGCCCACAUGCCUCUUCCUUCCCAGGCAGCAAGAAAUAGUCCGGCCGUUGCUGGGGAAAUGGACGAUUCACUCCUACGAGAGGAGAAUUGUAGGAGCAAGGAGCAGCUGGGUAUAUAAGCGAACACACACACAAUGUAAAUGUACCUUUCCGUAACAUGGUUGAGAUGACAAUGCUAUGAUGUCAUUAUGUGCUCUCAGGGUUUGUAUUUGUUCGUAUCUUUCAAUAGAUUUGACAUGUUUUACACCAUUUUUCUUACCAUGGUUCUAAUUAGCAAAUGAGAACAUUUUUAUAGGGGCCAUUAAAAGUGGAGCUAGUCUUCCUGGGCUAACUGUGUUAUGCUUCAAUUUUGAGCUCUAUUCAAUCUUUAUCUCUGAAGCGGUACAGAUUGCGCAACAGAAAUGUAAAGGUCAUUUCCAUAUGAGCCGACGUAUGCAGCCUUUACCAAGAAUACAGUCGCCGCUAACAUUGCCUUUAAAUUUCAAGCACACUGCAACGCUGAACUUCCCCGAUAUGGAUUGAAUAGAGCCCCGAGGCGAAUAUUCUCUCCAAUUACACUAGUUAUAAAUUCGCUUUAAUUAAUAAGCACUGUAUUGCCUAAUGUCAGAGUUAUUCACACACAGUCAAACAUGCUUACUGCUGAGGUAUAGCCCUAGACUAUGUUGCAUAAAUAUGCUGCCCCACACUAACUUGGAAGUUCUAUAAUUCAUAAGCAUGAUAGUCUUUGUAAAUAUUUAAUAGCUUAUGAAUACAACAGUUCACAUAUCGUGAUAUACCCAUGUAUGAAUUGACAAAUGACCUA
Molecule: long non-coding RNA, 4744 nt
Filed under: Oncorhynchus kisutch (coho salmon)
Lineage: Eukaryota; Metazoa; Chordata; Actinopteri; Salmoniformes; Salmonidae
Description: lncRNA (ENSOKIG00005047352.1)
Source: RNAcentral